AGGAAUAUAGAUCAGUGGUAGAGCACUUUCCUAGCAUGGAUGAGGAUUUGAGUUCAACUCUCAACACUGCAA
This 72-nucleotide transfer RNA is filed under the name Marmota monax (woodchuck). Its description in RNAcentral is "tRNA.Ala". Lineage: Eukaryota; Metazoa; Chordata; Mammalia; Rodentia; Sciuridae. The record is from RNAcentral.